This 338-nucleotide ribosomal RNA is filed under the name uncultured bacterium. RNAcentral's name for it is "partial 16S ribosomal RNA". It matches the Rfam family "Bacterial small subunit ribosomal RNA", at positions 338 to 693 of the family's 1533-position model. The record is from RNAcentral.
CCUACGGGAGGCAGCAGUGGGGAAUAUUGCACAAUGGGGGAAACCCUGAAGCAGCAACGCCGCGUGGAGGAUGAAGGUUUGCUGAGUGUAAACUCCGUUUGGUAGAGAAGAAAAUGACGGUAUCUAACGAAUAAGCACCGGCGAACUCCGUGCCAGCAGACGCGGGAAUACGGAGGGGGCAAGCGUUACUCGGAAUCACUGGGCGUAAAGAGCGCGUAGGCGGGAUAGCAAGUCAGAUGUGAAAUCCUAUGGCUUCCCCCUAGAACUGCUUUUGAAACUGUUAUUCUAGAGUAUGGGAGAGGUAGGUGGUAUUCUUGGUGUAGUGGUCAACUCCGUAG